Long non-coding RNA from Canis lupus familiaris (dog), 1971 nucleotides. RefSeq lists it as uncharacterized. The transcript is spliced from 3 exons. The record is from RefSeq and is a predicted model, not a curated record. NCBI's taxonomy places the organism in Eukaryota, Metazoa, Chordata, Mammalia, Carnivora, Canidae.
GAGGCAGGGCCGGGCGAGCCCCCACAGGUCAGCCUUUGCUUAAAUGACACGUGUGCGAGCACGUGUGGAACGUUCCACGGGGACACACGGAGCCUCUUCGCUGUAGGCCGGGGGCUCCCGGGGGGUGACUGACCCAGGGCCGCCUGGGGACAUCUGGGGACACGUCUGGUUGGCGACACCGGGCGGAUGGAGGCCGGGGGUGUGGGUCAGCACCCCGCAGCGUCCAGGACAGCCAGGCCCGGAGACCAAGCAAAGGCAGCUGGACGUGCUGGGGCCCUUCGCCAGGUUCCCGGGUCACGGGGCCCGCGGAGCAGCUCAGAGGCCCCGGGAGGGGGCCACCCCGUCCAGAUCCGCCCCCACCCUGCCCGCCUGGCACGCGGCCCACAGCCAGUCACGUGAACACCGUUCUCAUGCCCUUGGGGCCUGGAGGCUGGCAGGGGGUGGCCGAGGGGCCCCUGGAGGCUGGCGCUUCUGCUCUGGCGCCACACAGGAAGGGGGUUUGGGGAGGUCUCUUGUGCCGAGGGGCCCUCAAGGACGGCCCCGCUCACCACCGGGGCAGCUGCCCAGCCUCAGGGGGAGGGGACGGGCCUGGCCUGGCUUCUGCCUUUGGCCCGUCGGGCUGGGCUCAGGGGCUCCUGACAGUGACCCGGUCUUCCGAGUUAGCCACUGGCUCUGUCUCCAGGGAGACCAGAUUUUAUUAAACCACCUCUACACCCAACGUGGGGCUUAAACGUACAACCCUGAGAUCAAGAGUCACAGGAUCUACUGACCGAGCCGGUUGGGCACCUCAAGUUUCUGUUGUUUUAGGCCACCAAGCUCGUGGUGGUUUGUUAGGGCAGCCACAGGACACGAAUACAGCUCUCCUGGCCCUAAACCCAAGGCACUCCUCAGCCCUCGGACGUGGGCCACUGGACACGGGAAUGCCGUCAGCCCACCAGGUGCCUCUGCGGGACUUAGGGAAACCCUCAGGAAGCCUCCACAGGAGUACCCUUGUUGGGACUGGCUACAGCCGCCCGACUUGAGUCCCCGAGCAACCCUGAGAACGUCCCCCAACCAGUGGCCUCCCCUCUCCGUGGACGGCCCCGCGGACUACCUAGGAGUGCUCUGCACACCUCCUUCCCACCGUCGCCCCUGCAAGCCUCAGAUGGCCUGCAGAGCGCGUGGGUGCUCUGCUCAGACUCCCACCCUCCGCCCCCCUUCCCACACGGGAUCACUCCCCAACGUCUCUGGUCGUGCCUCUCACAGGUAGGCAGGCGCCGAAGCACGAGGGAACCCCCUGCCGGCCAGGUUUCCUCUCCCUUCCUGGGUGCUCCUGGGGGCGCACGUGACUGCCUGCCUCGGGUUCUGCUUCUAGGGACCCCAGCCCCCCAGCCAAGGCCCAGCCCACCCGCACUGUCACGACCUCACCUGGCGGAUGCUGCAAGCCGAAAGCUUCCCCUCAACCACCUGAUGGGGGCCGUCCGCUCAACACCUAUUCCUCAAGCACGUUCCAUGGGCUCAGAACUGCUGGGCGGGAGGGUGGCGGUGCCAUCCCCUCCCGGGCACCAUGCUUCAGCCACGGGGAGGCUGGGCAGCCUGGGGGCCCCGCGCACCUGCCCGCUCCUCUCCCUGCGCCUGAAGCACCGGCCCUGCCCGCUGGGAGCUGCCUCCGGGGGCCUGGGGGUCCCGGCUGUUCAGUAUCCACUGCCCCGCCCUGGAAACAUCCACUUUCUGGCUUAAUGGACGGGGACGCCAUGACGCUAGUAAGAAGGCAUCUAGGAGGAACCCCGUGUGGGAGGCCUCGCUCCGCUCCGAGGCUUUGGAUCCUCUCCGGGCCGGUGGUUUCUAGGAGUGGUGGGGGCGGCAAGGGGGAACUGCGCCUGCGAAGGGCGUCUCGGAGACCAGCGGCCAGAGCUCCGGGCGCCGCCCCCACGCGCCCCCGCCCCGCAGUCCGCGUCCAGCGCCCGCGGGAGCCCAGCGCACCAGUGUCCA